Molecule: long non-coding RNA, 2606 nt
Filed under: Nicotiana tabacum (common tobacco)
Lineage: Eukaryota; Viridiplantae; Streptophyta; Magnoliopsida; Solanales; Solanaceae
Description: long non-coding RNA (NTAB_LNC009013)
Source: RNAcentral
ACACAUCAACACUUUAUACUAAAUGGUGAGCGAUUAAACUCUUCAUAAAGUGAUUUACAGUUGAAGUAAAUGAACUUUGUAUUACUAUUUUUAUUAAUAAUUGAAAUUUUAUUAAUCAAUUUAAUCAUUGAGUCAUGUAUUAAUUUUGUGAGUAUUAAUUAUAGUAAAAAUAUAUCGAUGUAUAAUCUUUGAAUGAAUAAUUUCAGAGAACACUGAAAUUUUACUUUCAGGUUCCCAUUAUCCGCUAUGAAGCUGCUUGAUGAGGAUUUUCUUGUCCACGGUCCCUCCCAUCUUUCUUUCUUUUCUGUCCUGGAAGAAACUAUGCCAAACUGAUAUUGUUAUUUUUACUGGAUCCUACACACUAAUCCAGAUGAUCAUUUGGGCAUCCUAUUUACUAGAUAUAUCUGCUCUUGGCUUCUUUUAGGUAUGCUCCAAAACAUGCAACUUCUUAACUGAUCAAAGAAAACAUAUAUAACUUAUUAAGAUGUCGUAUUCUAUGUUGUUGUUGUCCAAACUAAGGCUGCAAGAGCGGAUACUAGAAUCUAUUUUAUAUAAAUGUAAUGUACAUUAAUUUAUCUUUUAUCUUUCCCUGUAUUUUUCUAAUUUUUAUUUAACCGGCAAAAGACGCUAGCUUUUGACAUGCUUUGAACUUGACAUUUUAUUUUCAUUUCUUAACUUUUACAAAUUCCGACUUACAUGGCAAUAUACUACAUAACACGUUACUUUUUUCUUCUCUACUUUACCAAAUUCUAUAUUGGUGGUUUGCUGCAAGUUCUCCACUCUGGCUACAUUAUGUGACAAGAAUUGAGUUGGGCUAAUGCGAAGAAAGAAUUUCUACAGGUGCCAAUAGUAUUGUCAUAGCCUGCAAAAAUGGAGACUAAUUGCAGCAUUAUAGUUGUAUUACAAUCUGCGAAUAUGCAAAUAGAACAUACCUAAACAGAUUAGUGUAAGGGAUGUAAAGAAUGUGCCAUUUUGCACGUUGUUUUGCAACCACUGUGGUGGAUAUUUUAUUAACCUUUGUACAACGGAAGCAUUGUCCCUAAAUGCGUGUAAAUAAUAUGAAACAGUUAGUAACCUAAAAUGAAGUUGCAGCCAAGAAUUAUGAAAACGAAAGAAUGUGAAGCGAUUUCAUGUAAUCAUCUAUAGCUUGUAAUAUAAAGUUAUAGGGUUGAAUUAGAGCCAGAUUAUUACUCACACUAUGGCACCUCUUCUCUCCAAUCAAUCAUACUCUUUACAUAUCAAUGUCCAUUGAAUGAUCAGUACAACUUGAUUUCUACUUUUGAUUGCAACUCUAAAUACUUUCUGAUUUUGUUUGAUUGGUAAGUCUCUGUGACAUUUGUUAGUAUUCUUCCAUUAUGUGAUUUCAUUAUUUUCUAUCUUUAUAGUUCUCAAAAAUUUAUUUUCUAUCUUUAUAUUCUCUUUAUUCUCAACCAUUUUUCAAUCAAAUAUAGAUUCAGUUUUUUCCAUCUGCGUUUUUUUAUUUGUUGGACUCUUCCACUAAGACAGUUUCCAGGGAAAAGGCAAAAGGUCUAUAUUUUAGAUAUAAUAUUCGGGUUUUUUUUUUGUGUGGGAAAGUUUAGGAAUUUUUGGAGAUCAUAGCUAUCCAGCAGGUGAUUUUUGUGUUAAUUUUAAUUGGUAUGAUAUAUUUAUGUUGUCCUUGAUUCAAUGUAUAAUAAUGUGAGUACCAAGAACUUAGUAUGGGUCUGUGUUUAAAAAUAUGGUAACUGCAUUAUAUAGAGUGCAGUAAUCAAAUAGCUCUUAUAGGUAAUCCAUUUCUGCUUUGAUUGUUAUAAUAAGAGAUUGUGUGUGUGUUCCUAGCAUUCUACUUUGGAUUGUGUGUGGAUAUGAAUCUUAGGCUACAGUAUGGUCUGUAAUUUAUUUGCUACUUUUAAGAAGUUUAGUGGAGAAAAUAGAGGAUAAAGAAAAGUUACAGGUAUCAUUGAUGAUGGAAAUAAUGCCUAAUUAGCAACAUUGGAAUACUUGUACUUCUUGAAAGCAUAUAGGUGGGCAAAUGAUACUUACAUCUGCAAUGAGAUGUGACAAAAAAUUGAAAUGAAAUUUAUUAGCUUCAAGAAAUAAAAUUUUAUGCAACAGAUGAAGAUGGACCACAUAAUACUUGAAGAAUGGCUGAAUAUAUAAAUUAAACAAGCAUAUAAAUGCUUAAAGUUUUCAAGCAUGCUUAGCCAAGGAAAAUUUAUUAUUUAAGAAAUAUUAACAAUUUCUAUGCUCUUUUUAAAUGUUUUGCAGGGAAAUCGACAGAGGGCGACGCUAACUGAUGCCAAUUCUGGAGCAUGUCUUGAGUGCUAGAAUAGAGUCGUUGAUGCAUAUGGUUUUGUGUUAUAUAUGCAAGUUAAAUUGGACUUAACAGGGUGUAAUACUUUGGGUGCUUCUCCUCUCUUUACCAAUGCACCUUUCCUUAAGGAAAUCUCAUGUUUUUUACAUUUCUAUGUUACUUUUAUGCGUUCUUGUAUUACUUUAUCAUAUCUGAAUUUACAUGGAUUUUUCACUUUUUUAUUAAGUAAAAAUAAAAUGUAUCAAUAAUACAUGAAUUUACAUGGAUUGUUCUACGUAAAUUGGAUUAUUAAUAAAUUUAGGAGAUCUCUGAU